CCUACGGGCGGCAGCAGUGGGGAAUAUUGCACAAUGGGCGAAAGCCUGAUGCAGCAACGCCGCGUGAAGGAAGACGGUUUUCGGAUUGUAAACUUCUGUUCUUAGUGAAGAAUAAUGACGGUAACUAAGGAGCAAGCCACGGCUAACUACGUGCCAGCAGCCGCGGUAAUACGUAGGUGGCAAGCGUUGUCCGGAAUUACGGGGUGUAAAGGGAGCGUAGGCGGGAAGGCAAGUCAGCUGUGAAAACUACGGGCUUAACCUGUGGACUGCAGUUGAAACUGGCUUUCUUGAGUAAAGUAGAGGUUGGCGGAAUUACGAGUGUAGCGGUGAAAUGCGUAGAUAUUCGGAAGAACACCGGUGGCGAAGGCGGACGACUGGACUUUAACUGACGCUGAGGCUCGAAAGUGUGGGGAGCAAACAGGAUUAGAUACCCGAGUAGUC
This 441-nucleotide ribosomal RNA is filed under the name uncultured bacterium. Its description in RNAcentral is "partial 16S ribosomal RNA". It matches the Rfam family "Bacterial small subunit ribosomal RNA", at positions 338 to 795 of the family's 1533-position model. The record is from RNAcentral.